RNAcentral lists this ribosomal RNA (768 nucleotides) under Pimelia baetica. Its description in RNAcentral is "SSU rRNA". It matches the Rfam family "Eukaryotic small subunit ribosomal RNA", at positions 467 to 1196 of the family's 1831-position model. Lineage: Eukaryota; Metazoa; Arthropoda; Insecta; Coleoptera; Tenebrionidae. The record is from RNAcentral. RNAcentral also lists the same sequence under 3 other names.
GUGACGAAAAAUAACGAUACGGGACUCAUCCGAGGCCCCGUAAUCGGAAUGAGUACACUCUAAACCCUUUAACGAGGAUCAAUUGGAGGGCAAGUCUGGUGCCAGCAGCCGCGGUAAUUCCAGCUCCAAUAGCGUAUAUUAAAGUUGUUGCGGUUAAAAAGCUCGUAGUCGAAUCUGUGUCCCGCGCCGCCGGUUCAUCGUUCGCGGUGUUAACUGGCGUGCCGCGGGACGUCCUGCCGGUGGGCUUAGCUCGCGAGGGCGGCCCAACUCAAUCCCGCCGCGGUGCUCUUCAUUGAGUGUCGAGGUGGGCCGGCACGUUUACUUUGAACAAAUUAGAGUGCUUAAAGCAGGCUAAAACUUCGCCUGAAUACUGUGUGCAUGGAAUAAUGGAAUAGGACCUCGGUUCUAUUUUGUUGGUUUUCGGAACCCCGAGGUAAUGAUUAAUAGGAACGGAUGGGGGCAUUCGUAUUGCGACGUUAGAGGUGAAAUUCUUGGAUCGUCGCAAGACGGACAGAAGCGAAAGCAUUUGCCAAAAACGCUUUCAUUGAUCAAGAACGAAAGUUAGAGGUUCGAAGGCGAUCAGAUACCGCCCUAGUUCUAACCAUAAACGAUGCCAGCUAGCGAUCCGCCGACGUUCCUCCGAUGACUCGGCGGGCAGCUUCCGGGAAACCAAAGCUUUUGGGUUCCGGGGGAAGUAUGGUUGCAAAGCUGAAACUUAAAGGAAUUGACGGAAGGGCACCACCAGGAGUGGAGCCUGCGGCUUAAUUU